UACGGAGGAUCCGAGCGUUGUCCGGAUUUACUGGGUGUAAAGGGUGCGUAGGCGGCUCUGCAAGUCAGGCGUGAAAACCAUGGGCUUAACCCAUGGACUGCGUUUGAAACUGUGGGGCUUGAGUGAAGUAGAGGUAGGCGGAAUUCCCAGUGUAGCGGUGAAAUGCGUAGAGAUUGGGAGGAACACCAGUGGCGAAGGCGACUUUCUGGACUGUAACUGACGCUGAUGCACGAAAGCGUGGGGAGCAAAC
RNAcentral lists this ribosomal RNA (250 nucleotides) under uncultured bacterium. Its description in RNAcentral is "partial 16S ribosomal RNA". It matches the Rfam family "Bacterial small subunit ribosomal RNA", at positions 524 to 773 of the family's 1533-position model. The record is from RNAcentral.